GCAAAUCUAUCAGCAGUGUACAAAAAAUAGCCCGGAGCCCGUGUGUGCCUGGCCUCUGAACUCCUGGUAACAGUUUUUGCCGUUGAGGAAAGUGUCCCAUGGUUCAGAGUCAGCAGUUGUCUAAUUUACGGCACGUUGUGCUGAAUGGGCACGGCAUGUUGACGCUGGGAGGCACAGCUGAGAAGUGUGUCUGGGGCCGUAAACUACAGCUUUCUGGUGAAUCUUGAAACUGGUUAGGAUUGGGAAACAAUUAGACUGAAGAGUUUUACUUGAAGUAGGACUCCAUUUAUAGCUAGAGUGCACAGUUUUGAAUAUUGUAUAAUUUUGCAGACACAAGCACAGCACCAGUAUUUACGGGCCACCAACACUAUUAAAAGUACUAAAAAAUGACAUUGACUUAUAUAAUCCAGCAAUGCUUUAGAAAUCCAGAUUACAUAGAAAAUACACUCAGAUCUAAUUUUAUUUUCCAUAUUGGUGCCCCAAAGUAAGGUGAAUAGUAGGAGUUUUAGUGUACUGACUUGUGGGAUUUUUAAAAGUACUAGUGCAUGACAACAACCAAAACCAAUCUAGUCCUCCCUUGGCAUGUAAGUUGGGGACCUUCAGC
RNAcentral lists this long non-coding RNA (604 nucleotides) under Marmota monax (woodchuck). The record is from RNAcentral. Lineage: Eukaryota; Metazoa; Chordata; Mammalia; Rodentia; Sciuridae.